ACACACACACACACACACAAUGAUUCGCACACGCGCACGCACACUUACGUUUCCUGUUCUCACUUUCGCCCUGCUUCCCCUUUGUGUGAAUUGUACCGGAAAGGAACACCCCUGAUGCACACACAACCAUGCACACACUCACUCACACACAUACGCACCCACACACAUUUCUUGUUCUCUCUGUCUACCUGCUUCCACUUCCUGCUUCCUGUUCUCACUUUCCCCCUGGUCCCCUUUGUGUGAACUGUACGAGAAAGAAACAUCCCUGACACACUCGGACACAAUGCUCCAGAACGGGUGGUUUUUCCUCUCUCCUCUUCCCUCUUCCCCUCCUCUCAUCCUACCUCUGAUGCCAGGGCUGCGAUUCUCCACCCUUCUCCAAAGUGGGCACUUGCACACUCCCGUGAUGGAUUUAACCUCUUGAACCUCUGGGGGCAGUAUUUCAUUUUUGGAUGAAAAACGUUCCCGUUUUAAACAAGAUAUUUUGUCACUAAAAGAUGCUCGACUAUGCAUAUAAUUGACAGCUUUGGAAAGAAAACACUCUGACGUUUCCAAAACUGCAAAGAUAUUGUCUGUGAGUGCCACAGAACUAAUGCUACAGGCGAAACCAAGAUGAAAUUUCAUACAGGAAGUGAGCCAGAUUUUUGAGGCGCUGUGUUCCAAUGUCUCCUUAUAUGGCUGUGAAUGCGCAAGGAGAGAGCCUACACUUUCUGUCGUUUCCCCAAGGUGUUUGCAGCAUUGUGACGUAUUUGUAGGCAUAUCAUUGACCAUAAGAGACUACAUUUACCAGGUGUCCGCUCGGUGUCCUCCGUCGAAACUAUUGCGUAAUCUCCAGGUGCGUGCAUGUUUCCAUUUUGAACAGAGGAGAAACCAAACUGCCACGAGUGACUUAUCAUCGAAUAGAUAUGUGAAAAACACCUUGAGGAUUGAUUCUAAACAACGUUUGCCAUGUUUCUGUCAAUAUUAUGGAGUUAAUUUGGAAAAACGUUCGCGUUUUAAUGACUGGAUUUUCGGGGGGGUUUUCUCAGCCAAACGUGAUGAACAAAACGGAGCGAUUUCUCCUGCACAAAUAAUCUUUUUGGAAAAACUGAACAUUUGCUAUCGAACUGAGAGUCUCCUCAUUGAGAACAUCCAAAGUUCUUCAAAGGUAAAUUAUUUUAUUUGAAUGCUUUUCUUGUUUUUGUGAAAAUGUUGCCUGCUGAAUGCUUUGCUUAAUGCUAUGCUAGCUAUCAAUACUCUUACACAAAUGCUUGUGUAGCUAUGGUUGAAAAGCAUUUUUUGAAAAUCUGAGAUGACAGUGUUGUUAACAAAAGGCUAAGCUUGUGAGCCAAUAUAUUUUUUUCAUUUCAUUUGCGAUUUUCAUGAAUAGUUAACGUUGCGUUAUGGUAAUGAGCUUGAGGCUAUAAUUACGCUCCCGGAUACGGGAUUGCUCGUCGCAACAGGUUAAAAGUGUAUGAUUGGUGCAAACGUUGGCUGGAGGUAGUUUCCGCCAUUGUUAAAUCUAUGUCGGGGAGUGUGCAACCGCACACGCCUUGAAAAGGGUGGAUCAUCUCUGGAAGCACCAGAGCAAGUAAGAGCAGGAGAAUAUAGCCAAAACAGCACUGGUCUUAAAACGAAGCUACAGUAGUAGGCCUAAAGCUCAGACAAAGCCGUUCAAGUCAUGGACGAGGCUUACUUACUCGCACAAUGGUUGCAUCCCAAAUUCACCCUAUUCCCUACAUAGUGCACUACUUUAUUUGGAAUAGGGUCCCAUUUGGGACGCAGCCAUUGACUACUUCAGCUUUCUGAUCCCCUUUUCAGGAACAAUGUGCUGUGUAGUGUAGUGCCUACUCAGGCUUUUGCACAUGAAAUGUAAUGAUACAUAGAGUGUCAGCAGCAGUGUACUACUACAGUGUAGUUUCGGGGAGAUCGCUGAUGAUUGGUGUCAAAGUUGGACGUCUAUCCAUGUCCUUGAGGACUUCAGGAAAUGCCUUCGAAAUCGGCCACUAGUGGCAACAGUGAGCACUAUCACCAUCAAGUGGGCUUGGGUUUUGCAAGGGUGUUGUGGACGGGUGUCACGUCAUCCCAUGACUCUGGAUCAGAAGGUUGCGUGUUCGGUCGUGGACACUGUUCUCUAUUUUUAUUUUACCCUAUCCAAAACCUUAACCCUUGCUUUAAACAGUUGGAAUGACUGCCUUAACUUUACCCUUAACAUCUACAUUUGAUGUUCGGAGAAAUAGAACAAUACAGAGCAGCAGGAACAACAACAAAAAAGGCUUUCCAAUUGUACGUUUGGAGAACGUGGAUGAACGUCUAAUUCUGUAGUGAGAGCUUGUUGGCAGUUUUGCCUUUUACCCAUUAAUGGUUAAGUUUAGGGUCGGGGCCAACUACUGCUUGGACACUGUCCAACCUCUCAGAGGACACACACACACACACACACACACACACACACACACACACACACACACACACACACACACACACACACACACACACACACACACCCUCCUCACCCACCCCAGUCUUCACCCACCUCACCCACCUCACUCUCCUCAGUCCUCACACACCUACCCGUUUCCUUCCCCUUUCAUCCCAGUCCAAAACACCUCACCCUUCUCAGUGUUCACCCUCCUCGCCCACGUCACCCUCCUCGCCUCUCUGCCCUCACCCACCUCACCCUUCUCAGUCCUCACCCACCUGCCCGUUUCCUUCCCCUUUCAUCCCAGUCCAAAACACCUCACCCUUCUCAGUGUUCACCCUCCUCGCCCACGUCACCCUCCUCGCCCCUCUCAGACCUCACCCAUCUCACCCUUCUCAGUCCUCACCCACCUGCCCGUUUCCUUCCCCUUUCAUCCCAGUCCAAAACACACCAACCUCACCAUAGAGAUGAUGAUGAUUUCCCUUACUGUCACCCUAACUUUGUCUGAAAUGACACCCAUAGUGCACUACCUAUACUGAUUUAGUGCACUACUUAUAACCAACCAUAUAGCGCCCUACCAUAGAAGCCAUAGAGGCCUCACAGGCUCAAAAAGCUAAGCCAGCUCAGCUAAUGAAACAGCAGUGUCCUGUGUGAAUUUAAGUAUGCUCUCUCUAAUUCUCUCUUUCUUUCUCUCUCUCGGAGGACCUGAGCCCUAGGACCAUGCCUCAAGACUACCGGGCAUGAUGACUCCUUGCGGUCCCCAGUCCACCUGGCCGUGCUGCUGCUCCAGUUUCAACUGUUCUGCUUGGAAUUAUUAUUAUUUGACCAUGCUGGUCAUUUAUGAACAUUUGAACAUCUUGGCCAUGUUCUGUUAUAAUCUCCACCCGGCACAGCCAGAAGAGGACUGGCCACCCCACAUAGCCUGGUUCCUCUCUAGGUUUCUUCCUAGGUUUUGGCCUUUCUAGGGAGUUUUUCCUAGCCACCGUGCUUCUACACCUGCAUUGCUUGCUGUUUGAGGUUUUAGGCUGGGUUUCUGUACAGCACUUUGAGAUAUCAGCUGAUGUACGAAGGGCUAUAUAAAUACAUUUGAUUUGAUUUGA
Long non-coding RNA from Oncorhynchus keta (chum salmon), 3498 nucleotides. RefSeq lists it as uncharacterized. The record is from RefSeq and is a predicted model, not a curated record. NCBI's taxonomy places the organism in Eukaryota, Metazoa, Chordata, Actinopteri, Salmoniformes, Salmonidae. The transcript has 2 exons.